UCUCCGUAGGUGAACCUGCGGAGGGAUCAUUACAGAGUUCAUGCCCUACCGGGUAGAUCUCCCACCCUAUGUUAUUAUUACUUUGUUGCUUUUGCGGGCCGUUAGGCUCCGGCCCGACUACCGGCCCCGGCUGGUAAGCGCCUGCCAGAGGACCCAAAACCCUGAAUAUUAGUGUCGUCUGAGUACUAUAUAAUAGUUAAAACUUUCAACAACGGAUCUCUUGGUUCUG
This 229-nucleotide unclassified non-coding RNA is filed under the name plant metagenome. RNAcentral describes it as "partial contains small subunit ribosomal RNA, internal transcribed spacer 1, and 5.8S ribosomal RNA". The record is from RNAcentral.